AAUGAACGUUGGCGGCAUGGAUUAGGCAUGCAAGUCGAGCGCGAAACGUAGCAAUACGUGGAGAGCGGCGAAAGGGAGAGGAAUAUGUGGGAACCUACCUUCGGGCCUGGAAUAGCGGCGGGAAACUGCCGGUAAUGCCAGAUAACGUCCCCGGACCAAAGGUGUGAUUCCGCCUGGAGAUGGGCCCACAUCCUAUCAGCUUGUUGGUGUGGUAACGGCGCACCAAGGCUAAGACGGGUAUGGGGUGUGAGAGCAUGCCCCCACUCACUGGGACUGAGACACUGCCCAGACACCUACGGGUGGCUGCAGUCGAGAAUCUUCGGCAAUGAGCGCAAGCUUGACCGAGCGAUGCCGCGUGCGGGAUGAAGGCCCGCGGGUUGUAAACCGCUGUCGUAGGGGAAUAACGGUCGGUGGGUGCUCCCAUCGAUUUGAAUGAUCCUAGGAGGAAGGACGGGCUAAGUUCGUG
RNAcentral lists this ribosomal RNA (466 nucleotides) under uncultured bacterium. Its description in RNAcentral is "partial 16S ribosomal RNA". It matches the Rfam family "Bacterial small subunit ribosomal RNA", at positions 29 to 507 of the family's 1533-position model. The record is from RNAcentral.